UGCUCCAAAUAAUCAGUAUAAUAUUUUAGCGUAGGAUAAUAAAUAAUCACUGAUAAGAAAAUUUUUUUAAUAAUAAAUUAAAACAUUAUUUUAGAGUGACGUAAAUGGGAAUAUUUUAUUUUUUUAUUAUUUAGAUAAAAGAUAAAAGAUAAAAAGAUAAAAUAAAGAAAAAGGGAGGGGGGAAAUAACUGGUCACCGUCCCUCCUCUGCCUCGAAAGCCGAAAAGGGCAUCUGUCUCUGCCUCUUGCGCCCCCAGUAAUUCCCGUUUGGUUCAAGCUUAGUAGACAAGCAAUAUGAGAUCCGAUUCGGCAAAAACGGCACAUGGUUUGCGACUUUUGUGAUCUCUGCUAUUCUGCAGCACAAAGGAUUUUCCUGAAUAUAUUGAAUAGAAUAUAGGGAUAAUGGCUGAGGGGAUAUCAAGUUUUUGGGGUCCUGUCACAUCCACUAUUGAGGGUUGUGAGAAGAAUUAUGCCUACUCUUCUUAUAUUGCUGAAUUUUACAACACCAUAUCCAAUAUCCCAACCAUUCUUUUGGCCCUCUUUGGUCUUAUCAAUGCCUUAAGACAGCGAUUUGAGAAGAGAUUUACUGUUCUUCACAUAUCUAAUAUUAUACUUGCCAUUGGAAACAUGUUAUACCAUGCCACUUUGCAACGCGGGCAGCAGCAGAGCGAUGAAACUCCUAUGGUGUGGGAGAUACUACUUUAUAUCUACAUCCUCUACUCUCCAGAUUGGCACUACCGUAGCACAAUGCCGACGUUCCUCUUUCUUUAUGGUGCUUCUUUUGCUGUUGUUCAUGCAGUAGUCCGUCUUGGCAUUGGCUUCAAGGUGCAUUAUGUAAUAUUGUGCCUUCUGUGCAUUCCCCGAAUGUACAAGUAUUACAUUCACACACAAGAUGCUUCUGCUAAGCGGCUUGCAAGAUUAUAUGUGGCCACCCUUCUUCUAGCUAGCUUGUGUUGGCUCUGUGAUCGUGCAUUCUGCAAGGAGAUAUCUAGCUGGCCCGUCAAUCCACAAGGUCAUGCCAUGUGGCAUAUCUUCAUGGGUUUUAGUUCCUACUCGGCAAAUACGUUCUUAAUGUUUUGCCGUGCUCAGCAAAGGGAAUGGGCCCCAAAAGUUGUCUAUUUUAUGGGUUUUCUACCCUAUGUGAAGAUCGAAAAAUCAAAAACCCAGUGAAUGAAAUACAAAGGUACCGAAGUAUAGGCAUUGUUGAGACGUUAGAGGUAAGCACUAAACACAACUAGUUUUGUUUAUCACACUGUUAAGUGGCAGAACAUUUGCCAUAUUUACAUGCCUUCUGUUGGCAAGUAUGAUAUCGGGAUGGCUUGUUUCUGGUGCUUGGAUUUGUUUUUUCGAUUUAGAAACGGUCUGUGGGAUUUGUUAUUUAACUCUUUGAGUGAAUCAUGAAUCUUGAAUUUUGUA
Juglans microcarpa x Juglans regia is the source of this 1415-nucleotide RNA transcript. It is a transcript of the gene named alkaline ceramidase-like, with no coding region annotated. The transcript is spliced from 4 exons. The record is from RefSeq and is a predicted model, not a curated record. Lineage: Eukaryota; Viridiplantae; Streptophyta; Magnoliopsida; Fagales; Juglandaceae.